Molecule: non-coding RNA, 73 nt
Organism: Aedes albopictus (Asian tiger mosquito)
Lineage: Eukaryota; Metazoa; Arthropoda; Insecta; Diptera; Culicidae
Source: Rfam
UGUUCUGUGGUUUAGUUUGUUAAAACGCCGUAUUAGCAACACGGAGUCAUGGGUUCAAAUCUCACCAAAACAG